Molecule: non-coding RNA, 73 nt
Organism: Bos taurus (domestic cattle)
Lineage: Eukaryota; Metazoa; Chordata; Mammalia; Artiodactyla; Bovidae
Source: Rfam
UCCCUCGUGGUCUAGUGGUUAAGACUUUGCACUUCCAGUGCAGAGGUCACAGUUUCAAUCCCUGGCCAGGGAA